CAACAAUAAGCAGCUGCCUGUGAUGUCAUUGGGACUUUGUCCACAGAGCUUGUAUUUACAAGUACAGAGAAACUACUUAACAGCAGAAAAAACAACUACCAGCAAACUUCAUGUCUGCAGUUACUGUAGGACUUCAGUAGUGCUGUGGAUGGGCUAGCAAGCUAACUCUGCUCUUCUAACCACAGAUUUUUAAAGACUCGUGCAGUUUUUCCAAGACUUCAGAUGUCUGCAUGUAUCCGUGCCCACUUUCUGAAAGAAGCCAUGGAUAAACCCAACACACACACUGAUGUCAGCAGGGAGUCUUCAUAAGGAAUUCUACUGUAUAAUUGAUGCUGGAAACAGCCUGAUAUUUCUAGUACAGCAGAAGGAAAACAAAUAACCUCAUCCAUGGAGAGAAAAAGACAGCUACAGAAAAGGGAAUUUGGGAAAAGAUUUUCUCUGGACAGCAGUCUUGUGGAAUAUAUGGACUCAAAUAAAUACAUAGAGCAUUUAGUGACUCAGCUAGAAGAGCAACGUUGGAA
Alligator sinensis (Chinese alligator) is the source of this 521-nucleotide long non-coding RNA. RefSeq lists it as uncharacterized. The record is from RefSeq and is a predicted model, not a curated record. The transcript has 4 exons. Lineage: Eukaryota; Metazoa; Chordata; Crocodylia; Alligatoridae.